RNAcentral lists this ribosomal RNA (485 nucleotides) under uncultured bacterium. RNAcentral's name for it is "bacterial SSU rRNA". It matches the Rfam family "Bacterial small subunit ribosomal RNA", at positions 28 to 512 of the family's 1533-position model. The record is from RNAcentral.
GAUGAACGCUAGCGGCAGGCCUAACACAUGCAAGUCGAGGGGUAGGGAGACUUCGGUUUCCUGAGACCGGCGGAUGGGUGAGUAACGCGUAUGCAACCUACCUUUCACAGGGGAAUAGCCCGGAGAAAUCCGGAUUAAUGCUCCAUGGAUUAUUUAGAUGGCAUCAUUUAAAUAAUAAAGAUUUAUCGGUGAAAGAUGGGCAUGCGUAUCAUUAGCUAGUUGGUGUGGUAACGGCAUACCAAGGCAACGAUGAUUCGGGGUCCUGAGAGGGAGAUCCCCCACACUGGUACUGAGACACGGACCAGACUCCUACGGGAGGCAGCAGUGAGGAAUAUUGGUCAAUGGAGGCAACUCUGAACCAGCCAUGCCGCGUGCAGGAUGACUGCCCUAUGGGUUGUAAACUGCUUUUAUACAGGAAGAAAUGUAUCUACGCGUAGAUAUUUGACGGUACUGUAGGAAUAAGGAUCGGCUAACUCCGUGCCAGC